CGGCACCUCAAGUGGUCAGGAUGAUUAUUGGGCCUAAAGCAUCCGUAGCCGGCGCUGUAAGUUUUCGGUUAAAUCUGUACGCUCAACAUACAGGCUGCCGGGAAUACUGCAGAGCUAGGGAGUGGGAGAGGUAGACGGUACUCGGUAGGAAGGGGUAAAAUCCUUUGAUCUAUUGAUGACCACCUGUGGCGAAGGCGGUCUACCAGAACACGUCCGACGGUGAGGGAUGAAAGCUGGGGGAGCAAACCGGAUUAGAUACCCGCUUAGUCC
This 270-nucleotide ribosomal RNA is filed under the name uncultured archaeon. RNAcentral's name for it is "partial 16S ribosomal RNA". It matches the Rfam family "Archaeal small subunit ribosomal RNA", at positions 477 to 747 of the family's 1478-position model. The record is from RNAcentral.